AGCAGCCGCGGUAAUUCCAGCUCCAAUAGCGUAUAUUAAAGUUGUUGCAGUUAAAAAGCUCGUAGUUGAAUUUCGGGGUCAGUAGGUUGGUCAUGCCUUCGGUAUGUACUGGUCUCACUGAUUCCUCCUCUUGAAGAACCGUAAUGUCAUUAAUUUGAUGUUGCGGGGAAACAGGACUGUUACUUUGAAAAAAUUGAGUGUUUAAAGCAGGCUCACGCUUGAAUACAUUAGCAUGGAAUAAUGAAAUAGGACGUUCGAUCCUAUUUUGUUGGUUUCUAGGAUUGACGUAAUGAUUAAUAGGGAUAGUUGGGGGCAUUAGUAUUCAAUUGUCAGAGGUGAAAUUCUUGGAUUUAUUGAAGCUAACUACUGCGAAAGCAUUUGCCAAGGAUGUUUUCAUUAAUCAAGAACGAAAGUUAGGGGAUCGAAGACGAUCAGAUACCGUCGUAGUCUUAACCAUAAACUAUGCCGACUAGGGAUCGGAUGAUGUUAAUUUUUUAAUGUACUCAUUCGG
Molecule: ribosomal RNA, 511 nt
Filed under: uncultured Glomeromycotina
Lineage: Eukaryota; Fungi; Glomeromycota
Description: SSU rRNA
Rfam family: Eukaryotic small subunit ribosomal RNA
Source: RNAcentral